AAAUUGAAGAGUUUGAUCAUGGCUCAGAUUGAACGCUGGCGGCAGGCCUAACACAUGCAAGUCGAACGGUAACAGGAAACAGCUUGCUGUUUCGCUGACGAGUGGCGGACGGGUGAGUAAUGUCUGGGAAACUGCCUGAUGGAGGGGGAUAACUACUGGAAACGGUAGCUAAUACCGCAUAACGUCGCAAGACCAAAGAGGGGGACCCUCGGGCCUCUUGCC
This 222-nucleotide ribosomal RNA is filed under the name Escherichia coli. RNAcentral's name for it is "partial 16S ribosomal RNA". It matches the Rfam family "Bacterial small subunit ribosomal RNA", at positions 1 to 219 of the family's 1533-position model. Lineage: Bacteria; Pseudomonadati; Pseudomonadota; Gammaproteobacteria; Enterobacterales; Enterobacteriaceae. The record is from RNAcentral.